Long non-coding RNA from Danio aesculapii, 795 nucleotides. RefSeq lists it as uncharacterized. The record is from RefSeq and is a predicted model, not a curated record. The transcript is spliced from 2 exons. NCBI's taxonomy places the organism in Eukaryota, Metazoa, Chordata, Actinopteri, Cypriniformes, Danionidae.
UAUAGACAGGGAGAGAGAAAGUGGAUACAACUGUUAAAGAGAGAAAGUUUGCAGUUUUGUGUUAACUUGGGAGCAGGUAGCAGAUGCAGGUGGUGUGAGUUUGUUUAUCUGCUGGCUUAAUUUGCUGCUCAGCCGAUCAUUGUUCCUGCAUGUGAGAAAUCUCGGUGAGGAAGGAGAAUUCAGAGCACGCGAGUGGAGAUUGAGCAGGGGAGAAGAGCAGUACACAAGAUCACACAGGUGCUAACUGCUAAUCGCACGUGUGCUUCAGAGAAUCAGAACGAGUGAGUUUGCUCAUUUUAUUUUCAUGGAGGGUGAUUACGCAUAAGACAUGAAAGUUUUGUUCUCAGUGUUAAAUGUAAACUUAUGUGUGGGUUCUGAACACAUUUAUUUAUGUAAAAAAUGCCUUUUCAUGUGAAUUAUCAUAUGUGUAAUGUGUUGUAUUUAGUGGAAUGUGCUGAUUGCUCAUUUACUCUGUUUUUUGUUUGUUUUAUUAGGCACAAAUAAGCCACUGCCGUUGUUUUGCACAUAUUAAAUAGUUUAUUAACGUGGUUUUGAACUACUUUAAGUCACAUGGGGAUUUUGAUCUGGAUGUUUUGAAUACUGUCAAAGAAUUUAUUCUUAUAGUUAUAUAUACAUUUAUUUUUCCUGUUGCUGACCUAUUUUUAUUUUGCCAUAAAGCCAACUUUGUUUAUUGAUUGGACCUGUUUUAAAGCUUGCUGCUUAUCUCCCAAACAAAGUAAGUUAAUGCUGUGUCUCCUUGAGGCUCAGUCCAGAAUAAAAGAAUCCAUUUUCUUA